This is a long non-coding RNA of Myiozetetes cayanensis, 2347 nucleotides long. RefSeq lists it as uncharacterized. The transcript has 2 exons. The record is from RefSeq and is a predicted model, not a curated record. Lineage: Eukaryota; Metazoa; Chordata; Aves; Passeriformes; Tyrannidae.
UCCCCGACGUUUUGUGCUUUAGGCAUGCUCUCACUGAGCGAAAUUAGUGUUUUCCUCUGAACUCUAGACAGGGAUAGAGCAUCACGCUACAAAAUCCUGGGGUGUGUCGCCGUCUGUGUCCUGGUUGCGCAGCUGUUGAGGGCAGGUACAAAACCGAGCUCUGGGUUGUACAGAGCCUCAUCCUGUGAAUUUGGAGAGGCCUAGGAUGAAUUUGGAGAGGCCAAGUAUUCUAGAGCAUCAGCUUUGUCCAGUUAUCUCACAAACAAAAUUACUAGGCCUUAAGACACUCUGGAAAAUUUACAUCAUCAAGUAGGUUUUUCAGAAAUAUAAAUAGAGUAAAGGUCUUUACCAGUGACAGUGAUACAAACCCUCUGGAUGAGAUAUGCAUGUGGUGUACUGGGAUCCAAACAUUCAUUAGUAAAAAGAAUUUAUGACCUGAAUGUUUUGAUUUACAAGCAUAUGUUCUCUUCAUGCUAGUUACUAGCAGUGCAUCUGCAUUAGCAGUUUGGCUUGGAGCAGCGAUGCAAUUUUAAGUCAAAUCAAGAGCUGCCUUAUGUUAAGUUCUCAAAGUGGUUUUGAAGUUUGCCUUUCAGAGAAAACUAAACUGGGUACUGUGCUUCAAAUAAGCUUAAUGGCAGCAUUGUUUUUGGCUCUGUUCUGUCUGAACCCACCCAGUCAUAAGACCGGCUAGCUUGCAUUUAACACUCACCACUGCUGGGCUCUGAAACCCAAGAAAGCCCCAUGACAUGGUGAGGAGCUCAUAUACUGUAUUAAGUCAGUGUUCUGUGCAGUGUUCUCCUUUACCCAAUGAUUAUCAUUCUAACCAGCUUUUAAAAUAACUUUACACUUAUAAGCAUCCAGGAAAACAAAUAUACAUUGAUAAUAUAUUUUAAUCACUUAAACCAGAUGCUGUCAUUUUCUUGUCACAAAUUCUACUCAUGUUUAAAUAAAACUUUCCCAGCCUCUCAUAUCUGAGCACAGUUUUUCACAAAUGACAUGAAGAUGAUUUUCAUUCAAGUUGUUUUACAGACAAUUUAGAUUGACUCUGCUGAGAAGAGCAGCACUCCCCCUACUUUUGUCUCCCACCUGCCUCCCCAUCACUUCCGACUGCUAUAGUACUUCUUUCUGUAAAUAUUGGCUGUAGAUUAGAGGGUAAAUUCUAUCAGAAAACAGAUCUGGAUUAAUACCAGCCUCUCAUUGUGGGGCGUUUUGUUGUUCUUGGGGUGUGGGUUAUGUUUGCUGCACUGAGUUUAGUCUGGAUCACUUUUCCAAAGUUGUUUUUAAAUGUUGUGCUGCAACAAGGUUUUUUUUUUUUAGUAUUUGUAGUCACUGAGUGGAAACAUGAAAAGCAGUUUACAUUCUUGAAAAGGAAAGUUAUUUUAUAAUGGUUCAGUGUGAAGGAGAGGUUGUUCCAGUCAAAGUUAAGGUAAUUCCACAUUACUAACAGCAGGUAUUAGCAGCAAGAGAUCGAGACAAGAGUUUGCGCUUAGUUCAAGCCAUGAUUUUACUGAAAAUGUAGGUCACACUAAAUUUUUCACGUAAUUAAACAAAAUUAAUAGAACUGAUUAAGAGAUGUUCUGGGUGGAUUUGAUUAGCAUGCUGAUAAAGUGGGAUUUGUUUUGGAACUUCCUAGAUUUGCAAAGAAUAUGAGAGACUAGUCAGGUGGAUAGUGGGAACGAAAAUUUUCGUAGCCAAAAAAAGUAUCUUCUCUCUUUUAACACGAGGGCAAUGGCAAUCCUUGAAAACUGUGUGUUCAUUAUUAAAGUGAAAUUCUUACACAUUCAAGAGAAGAGCAGGCUGAAAGAAUCCACAAAAAAGAGUGCAGUCGUUCCUUUUGUAGCUUAAUCAUGAGGUUUUUGCAAUCCAGUCCAAUUUGUUGUUUUCAGAUGUUCUAAGCAUCUCUUCCUCAUGAAAACCCUUGGGAGAGCUGAAAAAUCAAGAUAACUGAGACUGCUUUUUGUUGAUUUGGAAGCAGUGUUGUUAUAACUGUUUCUAAUUAUUGAGUUAAAGGAAUGAAACCAGCUCCAACACUCUGAAAUCUAUUACCAAAGUGGAGCUUUCACUUUUAGAGAUGGCUGUUCAGUUAUAGGGUAGGUAUUUAGUUACUCUGUGGAAAUGUAUUAACAGUUAGACUUGGUCUGAAAGUCCUGAUGCCAGAGGAUAUGACUACACAUACAUAUCGUAAUAUGAAGUAGCAAUAAGGGAGGAAUCAGCCUCAGGCUGCACAGGUAGUUGGCCAAGCUAUUAAAAAAUUAACAUGUAACCAGGCAGCGAAAAUACAUUUAUUUUGUUGCUUCCAUGUAAUUAACAAAGAACUAAUAAACAUCUUCAUAACAUGUGUUUUUGA